GAUGAACGCUGGCGGCGUGCCUAAUACAUGCAAGUCGAGCGAACAGACGAGGAGCUUGCUCCUCUGACGUUAGCGGCGGAUGGGUGAGUAACACGUGGAUAACCUACCUAUAAGACUGGGAUAACUUCGGGAAACCGGAGCUAAUACCGGAUAAUAUAUUGAACCGCAUGGUUCAAUAGUGAAAGACGGUUUUGCUGUCACUUAUAGAUGGAUCCGCGCCGCAUUAGCUAGUUGGUAAGGUAACGGCUUACCAAGGCAACGAUGCGUAGCCGACCUGAGAGGGUGAUAGGCCGCAUUGGAACUGAGACACGGUCCAGACUCCUACGGGAGGCAGCAGUAGGGAAUCUUCCGCAAUGGGCGAAAGCCUGACGGAGCAACGCCGCGUGAGUGAUGAAGGUCUUCGGAUCGUAAAACUCUGUUAUUAGGGAAGAACAAAUGUGUAAGUAACUAUGCACGCCUUGACGGUACCUAAUCAGAAAGCCACGGCUAACUACGUG
This 497-nucleotide ribosomal RNA is filed under the name uncultured bacterium. Its description in RNAcentral is "partial 16S ribosomal RNA". It matches the Rfam family "Bacterial small subunit ribosomal RNA", at positions 28 to 507 of the family's 1533-position model. The record is from RNAcentral.